UACGUAGGGUCCGAGCGUUGUCCGGAAUUACUGGGCGUAAAGAGCUCGUAGGUGGUUUGUCGCGUUGUUCGUGAAAACUCACAGCUCAACUGUGGGCGUGCGGGCGAUACGGGCAGACUGGAGUACUGCAGGGGAGACUGGAAUUCCUGGUGUAGCGGUGGAAUGCGCAGAUAUCAGGAGGAACACCGGUGGCGAAGGCGGGUCUCUGGGCAGUAACUGACGCUGAGGCACGAAGGUCAGGGGAGCAAACGGG
Molecule: ribosomal RNA, 253 nt
Filed under: uncultured bacterium
Lineage: Bacteria
Description: partial 16S ribosomal RNA
Rfam family: Bacterial small subunit ribosomal RNA
Source: RNAcentral